Molecule: ribosomal RNA, 454 nt
Filed under: uncultured bacterium
Lineage: Bacteria
Description: partial 16S ribosomal RNA
Rfam family: Bacterial small subunit ribosomal RNA
Source: RNAcentral
ACGGGAGGCAGCAGUGAGGAAUAUUGGUCAAUGGGCGGAAGCCUGAACCAGCCAAGUCGCGUGAAGGAUGAAGGUAUUAUGUAUUGUAAACUUCUUUAGACGUAGAGAAAUAAGAGGGUCGUGACCCUUGAUGCUAGUAUACGUAGAAUAAGGAUCGGCUAACUCCGUGCCAGCAGCCGCGGUAAUACGGAGGAUCCGAGCGUUAUCCGGAUUUAUUGGGUUUAAAGGGAGCGUAGGCGGGAAGUCAAGUCAGCUGUGAAAUGUAGACGCUCAACGUCUGCACUGCAGUUGAAACUGGUUUUCUUGAGUGCGUAAGAGGCAGGCGGAAUUCGUCGUGUAGCGGUGAAAUGCUUAGAUAUGACGAAGAACUCCUAUUGCGAAGGCAGCUUGCUGGGCCGCAACUGACGCUGAAGCUCGAAGGUGCGGGUAUCGAACAGGAUUAGAUACCCUGGUA